GAUGCCUUUAACCGGGUGUCGGGGGCGGACGGCACGUUUACUUUGAACAAAUUUGAGUGCUCAAAGCAGGCCUAUGCCUGAAAAUUCUUGCAUGGAAUAAUGGAAUAGGACUUCGGUUCUAUUUUGUUGGUUUUCGGAUCCGAAGUAAUGGUUAAGAGGGACAGACGGGGGCAUUUGUAUGGCGGUGUUAGAGGUGAAAUUCUUGGAUCGCCGCCAGACAAACUACAGCGAAAGCAUUUGCCAAGGAUGUUUUCAUUGAUCUGGAGCGAAAGUCAGAGGUUCGAAGACGAUCAGAUACCGUC
Molecule: ribosomal RNA, 302 nt
Filed under: Collyriclum faba
Lineage: Eukaryota; Metazoa; Platyhelminthes; Trematoda; Plagiorchiida; Collyriclidae
Description: SSU rRNA
Rfam family: Eukaryotic small subunit ribosomal RNA
Source: RNAcentral